Molecule: long non-coding RNA, 302 nt
Organism: Lutra lutra (Eurasian river otter)
Lineage: Eukaryota; Metazoa; Chordata; Mammalia; Carnivora; Mustelidae
Exons: 3
Source: RefSeq, a predicted model, not a curated record
CCUUUGCCCUUACCUCAGCUGUUGCCCGCUCUUCCAGCGUGCGGGCUCGCGGCGUGGCGUGUCAGGCAGGGGUUUGCCGUGGUAGCAGAGCGUGGGAGACCGUCGGCGGUGUCGGGAAGCUUCUCUCUGCGGGUUCCAGGCAUUAGGAUGUGGAUACCAUGAAGGGAUAGCAUUCUACCUGCCACAGAUAAUUACCAGAAACACUAAGUGGAGAACAGCAUUUCUAAAUACCCGUUUAAAAGAAGAAGAUGAAAGAAAAGAAAGAAAGAAAAAAAACCCCACAGUGUUCUGUUUAAAGAGAG